GACUGAACAUGCAGUGAGACUUCCAAUAGUGUACCAGUCGUCACUAAAAUGUUUAAACUUUGCAUAAUCUUGGUUCUUGCCGCAUCCGUACAGGCAUGUCUCUAUAAUUGCGCAGGAAAAAGAUGAAACCCUACUUUGUGCCGCCGCUCGGCCUUAUUGCUAUUUAUUGUCUCAAUGUGAAAUAGAUGGACAGAAUUGUAAUCGUGAGAUGUUGGGACAACCAAAGCUUGUGGUUGCACCUUCAUAUCAAUGUAGGGGAUUGGGGCGGAGUGCAACUAGUGGUAUUUGUAAUGUGCGCUAAAAAUACUUAUUUAAUGGAAAAGAAAUAUUCUAACUUUGACAGUUGUUAAUAAAAAUUAAUAAAAUAAAGUUAAUGUCCAAUUUCA
Molecule: long non-coding RNA, 386 nt
Organism: Stomoxys calcitrans (stable fly)
Lineage: Eukaryota; Metazoa; Arthropoda; Insecta; Diptera; Muscidae
Exons: 3
Source: RefSeq, a predicted model, not a curated record